RNAcentral lists this long non-coding RNA (2389 nucleotides) under Homo sapiens (human). RNAcentral's name for it is "HSALNT0401382". The record is from RNAcentral. Lineage: Eukaryota; Metazoa; Chordata; Mammalia; Primates; Hominidae.
CACAUGUCUGAGCACACAUAAGGGACUCUGUGAAUAUGUGUGUAUUUGUUGUGUGCAUGCCCGCAGAAUGGGAUACAGAGACUCACUCUAUUCAUCAGGGAUUUGUUUUAAUCAGGAAUUGGCAGGCAUGGGAAGAGCACGCUGUCCAGGGUCGGCAAGGCCUGGAAAUGUCAGAGCAUCAGAAUACUGAAAAUAAAAGACAUGGUUAAAUCUAUUUUGGUGGCGAGGCUGGGGACACUGGGAAUAUGAUACUGAUCAAUCUAGAAUGUGUGGAGGAGUGGACAGCAGUUUUUAAUCAGACAAGACCUUCAACCCCGGCACAGACCAUCAAUUGGCAGGUGUUAAAACAGACCAAAAUGUGUUCUCCCGCCCAGAAGCAAGCAAAGCCAACCCCAGCUGCAGUUCCCUGACAGUCCAGUGAAUUCAGCCAAAGGAAAUGGCCCCACAUGGAGGGCAAGUGACAGAAGACCUGAUGACUCCGGUGGCUCAGCGGAGAGUGCAUUAAUAGGCUUGACCACUUCUGCUCGAUCUUCAGGCAAGCUGGGUCUGACCCCUGGACACUGUCCCCUGGAGCCCCUGGCCUCCACGUGUCCACCCACUGCCAUGGUCAUGGCUCCUCAGCAGGAGGAGGCCCAGCAGCCUCCAGGUGCCCCUGCCUGGUGCUAGCUGCCCACCGAAGCUCUAGCCUCACACUCUCAGGUUCAAAUCCAGCGACAAGAGCGGAUCCCACAAAGGCCACGAGAGUCACCCUAAACGGUCAGCUUAGGUCCUUCGUUCACUGAGCCCAUCGCUGUCCAGGGCAAGUGGUGCUGGCUGGGCUAGGUCCAGCUCCCGUGUCCACCCUGGGACCUGAGGUUCAGGGUCAGCUCACCCUAGACACAUGGAUCGAGUGGGGAGGGUGAAUCCUCAAAUGCUAAUCAGGUUCUGUUGUACAGAAGGGGAAGCGGAGGCAGGAGGAUGCAGCAAGACCUGUUCCCUCCUCUAACGGCACUCAUAGGACAGCCCAGCCACACAUUCAAAGAAUCUUGAAGGAAUAGGAUGGUUGGUAUGGUUGGUGUGGAAGAAGGUUCAUAAAUUCUGGAUUUAGCUUUGUGGGAUUCAGCUGACCUGAAAUUUAUACCUGUGCAGGUAGGUGGUUGCUGGGUAGGGUGACCACUACUGUCUCUCUCCAUCACCCAGGGCUGUUUUCAGCUCAAAGCCACAGAAGCCCAGGCAUGGUGGCAUCUCCGGGGGAAGUUGCCUUAUUCCAGAUUCACAGGUCCGGGGCGAAGGGGCCAGGCAGGGCAGGUGUGGGGCGGCAGGAUAUCGCCCUGGGCCUGGCUCCUUCUGCCUUUCUGCCACCAUCUUCAGCGGUGCCAUUACCUCGAGGCCUUCUGUGGUUGCUGGAGCUGCCACGCUCGGCCUCCUGUCUGCCUCCAGAUGGGAGAGGAGGAAGGAGGAGGUGAGAGCAGGAAAGAGCUUACAUAAAAGACCACAUUUUCCCAGAAUCCCCAGCAGCUGCCUGUUCUCCCCCUCCACUGGGCUAGAGCUGUGUCACACAGGCUGAGCGGCCAGGAAGCUGGGCACCAUCCAGGGAGUGUGUGAUCGUCGGGGUCCUGUUGAUUCCUGCUUUUGAGUAAUGAAGGUGACCAAACCACAUGACCCUGUCUGCAAAGAUUCCACCUGGACUCCCAGUUCCUCCAAGGAACCGUCAUGUGGUUCAAAUCCAAUGAAAUUCUCUAAAUCUCCACCCUCCUCAGGGUGCAGAGUUGGCUGCUUCUCUGUGCCCCCUGCUGAUCACGGCAACCCCUGGGUGCCUCGGCCUGCGAAGCCCCAGCUGUCCUCCGUCUGCAGACAAGCCGAGGUAUGAAAGCCUCCUCGCUGGCCCAGGAGCCUGUCAUUGUCCUCCAGCAGCUCUAGCCUGGAUGCGGUCCCAGAGAUAAAUCAUAUCUCUUUAAAAAGCCACAGUGGCCCAUUAUUUCUGCUUGAAAAUACCCCUGGCUCUCUGCUGGUGAGCUGGUUGACAGGCCCCGGCUGUUGUGCUCAGUGCUGCAAAGAGUCACGUCAGUCUGUCGACUUGUGUAGUGAGCAAGCUGGUAGCUUCAGAUGGUAUGCACAUGAAAUCCCGUCCUGGCAUCCAGGACUUGGCUGGGGGUUGCAGAGAGAACCACAUCUGCAAAAGAGUUGGUAUUUUACAGUCCCAGCCUCACGUCCUUGUGAAAUGCCCUGUUCAUACUGGGCUACAGGGGCGGGAGCAAAAAUGAUACAAUGACAAUUCCUGGGCUGUGUUCUGCAAUAUUCUACAACACUUCCACAAGAAAACUCCAAUCUUUAAAAAUAGACUGAGCACAAUUAAACAAUCACUAUAGAUAUUUCUUUUCUUUUUUUUUUUUUUGAGAUGGAGUCUCAC